Papaver somniferum (opium poppy) is the source of this 866-nucleotide long non-coding RNA. RefSeq lists it as uncharacterized. NCBI's taxonomy places the organism in Eukaryota, Viridiplantae, Streptophyta, Magnoliopsida, Ranunculales, Papaveraceae. The transcript has 7 exons. The record is from RefSeq and is a predicted model, not a curated record.
UGAAACCUAUUUCUCCUUUUUUUUUUCUUCUUCUUCUGCUACUACGAUUCUUCUCUUCGCCCGCGAAGAAACUCUAAAAUUUUGAGAUUUGAGUUUCCUUGAUGUGCUCUACAGGAAAUUUAGGAGGAAAGGCGAUGAGAGGAAAAGAAGAAGAAGGGUUUCAAUUAUUGAUGAAGUUGAUUGUUGACAAAAUCGGUGGUGGUUAGGAACAAGAUCGUUAGGUCAAGUGAUCGCAGAGUCCUCAAUAUCUUCAGGUGAUUUUGGAAAAAGGAAAACUCCAGUUCUGGACCGUGGUCAGAUUAAGCUAAAUGACAAAUCCAUGGUUAAAAGGAGCACGAAAAUUCUGGAAUUCCCCUCAUUACUCAUUCAAGUUGGAAAAUUUGAUCUUUCUCACAGUGAGUGGUGAAGUUAAUACCUUGAAAGUGGUUACUGCCGAAGAAAAUUGUGUUAUUAUGGGAGCUUCAGGUAAAGACUCAAAAAUAUACUGAAAUACGAUCAGAGAUAGUUGGAACUCAAGUUGAUGCUUCUUAGUUGUAACAAGCAGGUUCAGCCGACUAUUAUAGGUUUUGUAUUUGGUGAGCUAUGUGUACACUGGAUCUUCUGAACAAAGAUGCCAUGUUUGAUCAAAUUUAAGGGUUCAAUUAGGAUUUGCUACAACUGAAAUGAGAAAGGGGAGCACUAAGCCACGGUUCAAACUGGUGUAUCAGUUCUCUAAGUAAUAUAUUAUCAUUAUCAUAUCAACUGUGGAUACUUCUUUGUCUUCCAAUUGUACAACAAUAAGCUAAAAGCAUGGACAAGUAAAUCAAUACUACAUUUGGCCGAUGAUUGCCAUGAAGAAUUUAAUAUUUAGGAAUUCGUUUACGACA